Molecule: ribosomal RNA, 468 nt
Filed under: uncultured bacterium
Lineage: Bacteria
Description: partial 16S ribosomal RNA
Rfam family: Bacterial small subunit ribosomal RNA
Source: RNAcentral
GACGAACGCUGGCGGCGUGCUUAACACAUGCAAGUCGAACGGAAAGGCCCUGCUUUUGUGGGGUGCUCGAGUGGCGAACGGGUGAGUAACACGUGAGUAACCUGCCCUUGACUUUGGGAUAACUUCAGGAAACUGGGGCUAAUACCGGGUAGGAGCUCCUGCUGCAUGGUGGGGGUUGGAAAGUUUCGGCGGUUGGGGAUGGACUCGCGGCUUAUCAGCUUGUUGGUGGGGUAGUGGCUUACCAAGGCUUUGACGGGUAGCCGGCCUGAGAGGGUGACCGGCCACAUUGGGACUGAGAUACGGCCCAGACUCCUACGGGAGGCAGCAGUGGGGAAUAUUGCACAAUGGGCGGAAGCCUGAUGCGGCAACGCCGCGUGCGGGAUGACGGCCUUCGGGUUGUAAACCGCUUUCGCCUGUGACGAAGCGUGAGUGACGGUAAUGGGUAAAGAAGCACCGGCUAACUACGUG